GACGAACGCUGGCGGCGUGCUUAACACAUGCAAGUCGAACGGAAAGGCCCUGCUUUUGUGGGGUGCUCGAGUGGCGAACGGGUGAGUAACCCGUGGGUAACCUGCCCUUGACUUUGGGAUAACUUCAGGAACCUGGGGCUAAUACCGGAUAGGAGCUCCUGCUGCAGGGUGGGGGUGGGAAAGUUUCGGCGGUUGGGGAUGGACUCGCGGCUUAUCAGCUUGUUGGUGGGGUAGUGGCUUACCAAGGCUUUGACGGGUAGCCGGCCUGAGAGGGUGACCGGCCACAUUGGGACUGAGAUACGGCCCAGACUCCUACGGGAGGCAGCAGUGGGGAAUAUUGCACAAUGGGCGGAAGCCUGAUGCAGCAACGCCGCGUGCGGGAUGACGGCCUUCGGGUUGUAAACCGCUUUCGCCUGUGACGAAGCGUGAGUGACGGUAAUGGGUAAAGAAGCACCGGCUAACUACGUG
Molecule: ribosomal RNA, 468 nt
Filed under: uncultured bacterium
Lineage: Bacteria
Description: partial 16S ribosomal RNA
Rfam family: Bacterial small subunit ribosomal RNA
Source: RNAcentral